Neofelis nebulosa (Clouded leopard) is the source of this 2973-nucleotide long non-coding RNA. RefSeq lists it as uncharacterized. The record is from RefSeq and is a predicted model, not a curated record. NCBI's taxonomy places the organism in Eukaryota, Metazoa, Chordata, Mammalia, Carnivora, Felidae. The transcript is spliced from 2 exons.
AGGAUUCCUCAGGGGGACAGACUGGUCCGUAAGGCACACAGAGGCCGGUGGGUUCAGGAGGGAGCACACGGGAAGGUGGUGCUUGAGCUGGGUAGAAGCCGUGGGGUGCGAAGUGUGGGCCCCACGGACUGGCUCGACCCAAGUGGGGCCUAGGGGGAGGGUCAGCCACAAAGUGGGAGAGGAGCAGAACACGCACCACUUUUUUUGAUGUUCAGAUGCUUGUGCUGCUCUCCUUGUGGGCCCUUCUUCCUUCCCCGGGGACCUGAAGUUGCCAUGGCAACAAAGCUCCAUUGCAACUGCUGGGGACCAGCAGUAGGAAAUGGGGGCUCGGUGAGCUCAGGGUGGAAACCUCCCCCUACCCAGAGGUGUUACUGCAGGCUUGGGGGUGGGGGAGGGAAUGUAUGCGAGCGAGCGAGCGAGCGAACCAGUCUGGGGUUGGGAAGAUGGCUAAAGGAAAGACCUUCUGGUGGAGGGGAUAGAAAGGAUAAACAUCCACAAGAGUGGAAAUGGGGCUUUCUCCCCUGCUCCACAUCCCCAGGACCCAGUGGGACGCCAUGUUUGAGAACACCAAUCACCCACCACAAGAGCUGCAGGGGAACACAGUGCCAAACCCCCUGCCUGACCCCAUAGGUGACACAAGCUGAGCUCUACCUCUGGAAAUGAACAGGCUUCUUUGCCUCUGCAAGGAGGGCAGAGUUCCAAACCUCUUCCAGCAGUCCCCAAAUUGUCAUUGGCUGCCCCUCUCACCAAUGUCCAUCUUGACCUCCCGACCUGCGUCCCAAUCCCAUCUGAGGCAUCCACGGCAUCCACGUGCAGCAAAGAGGGUCUUGAAGUUCUUCUGAGGAAUGACUUAGAGCAGAAGAGGGAGAAGUACUAUGUGACCUGCUGUGGCCCUGAGCUGUGGCCAUGGCUAACGGUUGGGGAGGACGGUGGUCCUGUACCACCAGUGGGGCUCCAUGAGGGUGGCCUAUACCCCCUGUGGCAGCUUCCCCUCCCUGAGGAGGAGUGUGAUGGGGUGAUGGAGAGGGCUGGAUUGGGGGUAUGGCAUGUGGUGACGUAUGGAGGUAUAUCUGUGGUUGAAAGGCACCCGGGAGAAGGCCUUGCAGCGGGACCCCUGGCAUGGAGGUGGGACCAACGGAAGAGCCCUCCUUCCUGUUCACGACCCCAGUCGUGUUUCUCCUCAGCCUCCCUAGCCAUGCAUUUGAAGAUUUCCUUCCUCUGAAGGGUGAAAACCUAGCUGGGUUGCCCCAUUAGGAUCCCACCAAGAUGCAGCACCCUCGGGUUAGUGAGACUCAAGUGUUUCCUUGUUCAGUAUAAGUACAAGAAGCCACAUCAUCCUGCAUGUGGAAAGGGAGUUCUCAGCCAUUCCUCAGACCCUCCGAGUCCCCGGUCCCCACCUAGAUGAUUCCAUCUCCUCCCCUGGCUCCCUCAUCCAUCCCAACCCCUACCGCAGAAGUGGGGAAGGCCACCUGGCGACUAACUUUCCAUUCUCCUACUGGGGUCCUGCCAGCAAUUCUUGGGAGCUUCUGCCUGAAUCCCAGCUUGGAUGAACGAUCCACUCAUGUGUCCCCAAAUUAUUGUUCUGCCUCUGAAGUUGGUCAGAUUUUGAUUUCUGAGGCCCGGCUGUGAGGAGUGUGCCCACCUCCUGCUUCUAUCCUUUCAAGCUUUUGUUCUCAAGACCUUCCCUAAGCUAACUGAUACUGCAGAGGAAGGUUGAACAGGGUCAGGGCACUUAACACAGAUCUACAGGAAGCAGUGAGGGGCACCAUGUGGGGUGGGAACUGGAGAAAAGAGUCUGUGGUUGAGCCAGGCUUCCCCCCACAGGGGCAGGGGGGAUGUCUCCCCUCACCCCAGGACUACUGCUGACCCCUCUGUCCUGCUCCCUUGUCAUUUCCUCCGUGUCGCCUCUCCAUCACCCCAUCUCUACCUCUUCCUUCCAAUGAUUCUUUUCAGCUUCAACUCACGUUGCUCUUCCCCUCAUGCUCCCAGCACUUCCCAGGUCAACCCUCCGAGAAGCCGGACCCAUUUGCCCUGUGUCGUCCCUUCUCCCAGGCCACAUCUCAAGUUGACUUUCCUCGAUGGUCUGCCCAUAAGUCAGCUGGGACCAGGCAUGGUGCACGGGACUCUGGCUCUCUCUGGGGUCGGACAGUUGUCUUUUGAAGGAACCAUGAGCGUGACACAGCCGCAACUGGCAGGUCUACGAAAAUCCCACGAAUCCGACAGAUGCCCACCGAGCGCCUAUCACAUGCCAGGCGCCGUUCUAGGCCUCGGGUAUGCCAUGAGAAUCUGCUCAUAAGGUGAUAGCGAGAGGGAAUGCGGCAUAUGGCAAGCCAUCUGCAAUACCAACGCCUUGUCGAUGAAAACCUCGCUGGCCCACAAAAAGAAGGAGAUGCUAAAUGUAGUUUUCCGGCGCAGAGCGAUUUAUCUUCAUUCUGGGCAGAAAAGGAGUUGACGGUACUGAGCGAAGAUGAACGAGCGUCACGAAGAGCCGAGGGGCUCCGUCUGUGACAGUGACGGUGGCGGCGCCCCCUCCGCACGCGCCUCGCUCCCCGCCCCCGCUGUUGGGUGGCCCCUGCCGGCAGCGUCCUGGGGGCCCCUUCGGUGGCUUGACUGUCUGAGUGCCUGUGCCUUAAGGGCACAGGAAGCGGGGGAAGCGAGGUGGCGUGGCCGGGGCUGGGGUGGGCCCCCCUCUGAAAUGCUCCCCGCUCUGCGCUUGUGCAGGGGUCAAAGACCCGCGGAAGCCCGGAGAGGAGUGAAAUAAUGGGGGGACACUGACGGUCCCCUUGUUUCUCAGCUGUCAGUCCACUGCCUGUCAUUCCACCUUGGGAGCUUCUGGUCUCAAGGGUCCUUAACCUGUUGGAGCCUACUUCCUCAACUGUAAAAUGGAGAUAAAUUACCUACCUGGGCAGCUGCCCUGGGCACGUAAGACCUGGGAAGACAAUGCAAAAAGUGUAUUAAACCCUGGGAAGCUUA